Small nucleolar RNA from Spea bombifrons (plains spadefoot toad), 136 nucleotides. RefSeq annotates it as small nucleolar RNA SNORA29. The transcript has a single exon. The record is from RefSeq and is a predicted model, not a curated record. NCBI's taxonomy places the organism in Eukaryota, Metazoa, Chordata, Amphibia, Anura, Pelobatidae.
AUUCCCAUUUUAGUACCGCUGUUUCGCUCUACAGAAUUAGUGGCUAUGCUAAUGGGAUAGAGCAAUCUCUGCCAUCGUCUGAAGGGAAAGAUGUUGCAUCCAUUUUUCUCUAUAUGAAUUGUCAGGAUAAUUCUUA